RNAcentral lists this ribosomal RNA (554 nucleotides) under Bifidobacterium pseudocatenulatum. Its description in RNAcentral is "bacterial SSU rRNA". It matches the Rfam family "Bacterial small subunit ribosomal RNA", at positions 146 to 710 of the family's 1533-position model. The record is from RNAcentral. Lineage: Bacteria; Bacillati; Actinomycetota; Actinomycetes; Bifidobacteriales; Bifidobacteriaceae.
UCUCCUGGAAAACGGGUGGUAAUGCCGGAUGCUCCGACUCCUCGCAUGGGGUGUCGGGAAAGAUUUCAUCGGUAUGGGAUGGGGUCGCGUCCUAUCAGGUAGUCGGCGGGGUAACGGCCCACCGAGCCUACGACGGGUAGCCGGCCUGAGAGGGCGACCGGCCACAUUGGGACUGAGAUACGGCCCAGACUCCUACGGGAGGCAGCAGUGGGGAAUAUUGCACAAUGGGCGCAAGCCUGAUGCAGCGACGCCGCGUGCGGGAUGACGGCCUUCGGGUUGUAAACCGCUUUUGAUCGGGAGCAAGCCUUCGGGUGAGUGUACCUUUCGAAUAAGCACCGGCUAACUACGUGCCAGCAGCCGCGGUAAUACGUAGGGUGCAAGCGUUAUCCGGAAUUAUUGGGCGUAAAGGGCUCGUAGGCGGUUCGUCGCGUCCGGUGUGAAAGUCCAUCGCUUAACGGUGGAUCUGCGCCGGGUACGGGCGGGCUGGAGUGCGGUAGGGGAGACUGGAAUUCCCGGUGUAACGGUGGAAUGUGUAGAUAUCGGAAAAGAACACC